GAUGAAGAACGUAGCGAAAUGCGAUAAGUAGUGUGAAUUGCAGAAUUCAGUGAAUCAUCGAAUCUUUGAACGCACAUUGCGCCCUUUGGUAUUCCAAAGGGCAUGCCUGUUCGAGCGUCAAUUGUACCCUCAAGCUUUGCUUGGUGUUGGGCGUCUUGUCUCUAGCUUUGCUGGAGACUCGCCUUAAAGUAAUUGGCAGCCGGCCUACUGGUUUCGGAGUGCAGCACAAGUCGCACUCUCUAUCAGCAAAGGUCUAGCAUCCACUAAGCCUUUUUUUCAACUUUUGACCUCGGAUCAGGUAGGGAUACCCGCUGAACUUAAGCAUAUCAAUAAGCGGAGGA
Molecule: unclassified non-coding RNA, 341 nt
Filed under: soil metagenome
Description: partial contains 5.8S ribosomal RNA, internal transcribed spacer 2, and large subunit ribosomal RNA
Rfam family: 5.8S ribosomal RNA (bases 1-120)
Source: RNAcentral